GUGCCAGCAGCCGCGGUAAUACGUAGGGUGCGAGCGUUAAUCGGAAUUACUGGGCGUAAAGGGUGCGCAGGUGGUUUUGCAAGACUGACGUGAAAGCCCCGGGCUCAACCUGGGAACGGCGUUAGUGACUGCAAGACUAGAGUGUGGCAGAGGGGGGUGGAAUUCCACGUGUAGCAGUGAAAUGCGUAGAGAUGUGGAGGAACACCGAUGGCGAAGGCAGCCCCCUGGGCUAACACUGACACUCAUGCACGAAAGCGUGGGGAGCAAACAGGAUUAGAUACCCUGGUAGUCCACGCCCUAAACGAUGUCAACUGGUUGUUGGGAUUUUCGGAUCUUAGUAACGAAGCUAACGCGAGAAGUUGACCGCCUGGGGAGUACGGCCGCAAGGUUAAAACUUAAAGAAAUUGACGG
Molecule: ribosomal RNA, 411 nt
Filed under: uncultured bacterium
Lineage: Bacteria
Description: bacterial SSU rRNA
Rfam family: Bacterial small subunit ribosomal RNA
Source: RNAcentral